AAAAGCUCAAAUUUGAAAUCUGGCACUUUCAGUGUCCGAGUUGUAAUUUGAAGAAGGUAUCUUUGGGUCUGGCUCUUGUCUAUGUUUCUUGGAACAGAACGUCACAGAGGGUGAGAAUCCCGUGCGAUGAGAUGACCCAGACCUAUGUAAAGUUCCUUCGAAGAGUCGAGUUGUUUGGGAAUGCAGCUCUAAGUGGGUGGUAAAUUCCAUCUAAAGCUAAAUAUUGGCGAGAGACCGAUAGCGAACAAGUACAGUGAUGGAAAGAUGAAAAGAACUUUGAAAAGAGAGUGAAAAAGUACGUGAAAUUGUUGAAAGGGAAGGGCUUGAGAUCAGACUUGGUAUUUUGUAUGUUACUCUUUCGGGGGUGGCCUCUACAGUUUACCGGGCCAGCAUCAGUUUGGGCGGUAGGAGAAUUGCAAAGAAAUGUGGCACUGCCUCGGUAGUGUGUUAUAGUCUUUGUCGAUACUGCCAGCCUAGACUGAGGACUGCGGCUUCGGCCUAGGAUGUUGGCAUAAUGAUCUUAAGUCGCCCUU
Molecule: ribosomal RNA, 533 nt
Filed under: Lodderomyces parapsilosis
Lineage: Eukaryota; Fungi; Ascomycota; Pichiomycetes; Serinales; Debaryomycetaceae
Description: eukaryotic LSU rRNA
Rfam family: Eukaryotic large subunit ribosomal RNA
Source: RNAcentral